GCACUCGUAGCUCAGCUUGGAUACUGCAAAAUUCGGAGAAUUUUGCCGGAUUUGCGUAGAGCAAAUAGAGCACUUGCCUCCUAAGCAAGGGGUCGGGGGUUCGAAUCCCCUCGAGUGCG
RNAcentral lists this transfer RNA (119 nucleotides) under Candidatus Woesearchaeota archaeon. RNAcentral describes it as "tRNA-Arg". It matches the Rfam family "tRNA". Rfam says of the family: Transfer RNA (tRNA) molecules are approximately 80 nucleotides in length. The record is from RNAcentral. Lineage: Archaea; Nanobdellati; Candidatus Woesearchaeota.